RNAcentral lists this small RNA (514 nucleotides) under Pongo abelii (Sumatran orangutan). RNAcentral describes it as "processed transcript". Lineage: Eukaryota; Metazoa; Chordata; Mammalia; Primates; Hominidae. The record is from RNAcentral.
GCACUUGAGCAGGGAAGAAAUUCACAAGGACUCACCAGUCUCCUGGUCUGCAGAGAAGACAGAAUCAACAUGAGCACAGCAGGAAAAGUAAUCAAAUGCAAAGCAGCUGUGCUAUGGGAGUUAAAGAAACCCUUUUCCAUUGAGGAGGUGGAGGUUGCACCUCCUAAGGCCCAGGAAGUUCGUAUUAAGAUGGUGGCUGUAGGAAUCUGUGGCACAGAUGACCACGUGGUUAGUGGUACCAUGGUGACCCCACUUCCUGCGAUUUUAGGCCAUGAGGCAGCCGGCAUCGUGGAGAGUGUUGGAGAAGGGGUGACUACAGUCAAACCAGGUACAGGAUUCACACUCAGGGAACACGUGUGGUUCACCAUCCUAAGAUUUCCCAGCCUGAAUGACGAAACAGAGGCAAUGAGGGACGAACGGGCUUGAACAAGGUCACCGCGCAGCCAGGACUUCAGGGAUUUCCUCUUUCCCUCUCUUCCUGGCUGACUCAAGCAUGUAUGUCUUUAGGCAAGCA